UAGGGAAUAUUGGACAAUGGGUGCGAGCCUGAUCCAGCCAUGCCGCGUGCAGGAAGAAGGCUUUCUGAGUUGUAAACUGCUUUUGCCAGAGGAUAAAAAGCCCAUGCGUGGGAAAUUGAAGGUACCUGGUGAAUAAGCCACGGCUAACUACGUGCCAGCAGCCGCGGUAAUACGUAGGUGGCAAGCGUUGUCCGGAUUUAUUGGGUUUAAAGGGUGCGUAGGCGGUUUUAUAAGUCAGUGGUGAAAUCCGGCAGCUCAACUGUCGAUGUGCCAUUGAUACUGUAGAACUUGAGUACUGAUGAGGUAGGCGGAAUUGACGGUGUAGCGGUGAAAUGCUUAGAUAUCGUCAAGAACACCGAUAGCGAAGGCAGCUUACUAAGCAGUAACUGACGCUGAGGCACGAAAGUGUGGGGAUCAAACA
RNAcentral lists this ribosomal RNA (421 nucleotides) under uncultured bacterium. RNAcentral's name for it is "bacterial SSU rRNA". It matches the Rfam family "Bacterial small subunit ribosomal RNA", at positions 355 to 774 of the family's 1533-position model. The record is from RNAcentral.